AAUAGAUACCCGGGUAGUCCACGCCGUAAACGAUGAGUGCUAGGUGUUGGGGGGUACCACCCUCAGUGCCGAAGCUAACGCAUUAAGCACUCCGCCUGGGGAGUACGGUCGCAAGACUGAAACUCAAAGGAAUUGACGGGGGCCCGCACAAGCAGUGGAGCAUGUGGUUUAAUUCGAAGCAACGCGAAGAACCUUACCAGGACUUGACAUCCCGCUGACCGGUCUAGAGAUAGACCUUCCCUUCGGGGCAGCGGUGACAGGUGGUGCAUGGUUGUCGUCAGCUCGUGUCGUGAGAUGUUGGGUUAAGUCCCGCAACGAGCGCAACCCUUGUCCUCUGUUGCCAUCAGGUUAAGCUGGGGCACUCUGAGGAGACUGCCGGUGAUAAACCGGAGGAAGGUGGGGAUGACGUCAAGUCAGCAUGGCCUUUAUGUCUGGGGCUACACACGUGCUACAAUGGCCGACACAAACCGUCGCGAUGCCGGCAAGGUGGAGCUAAUCGGACAAAGUCGGUCUCAGUUCGGAUUGCAGG
This 529-nucleotide ribosomal RNA is filed under the name uncultured bacterium. RNAcentral's name for it is "bacterial SSU rRNA". It matches the Rfam family "Bacterial small subunit ribosomal RNA", at positions 777 to 1304 of the family's 1533-position model. The record is from RNAcentral.